UCUAUGUAUAUCUAUGGUCGGCACGUCUGGUAGCGUCUCUGGCUGCUGUUGACCUUGUUUUUGGAGUAAAACACGGUGGAAGCUGAAUUAGUGAGGAUGACUCCUGCUCCUGUCAUCUCAAAGCUCCUCACACAUCUUUACCUGCACAUGAGGAAAAUCACUCCUGUAGAAUGCAGAUGUUCAGAGGGAGAUGAUGCCACAUCUGGUCCAGCUGAUGGAAGGUCUUGAAGUUCUCUGACUGGCCUGGACUGAAGAUGGUCCUCUCACUGGAUUUAAGGUUCAGAUGCUCAGUAACAAACUCCACCAAUGUACCAACAGGGAAGCUUUAGGUUUAUUAAAUGUUACUAUGAAGGUUUCGCUGUUUUUCUUUGUGAAUGCAAUGUGCUCCAACUGAAACUUGAAUUAGAACAUAGAAGUAAAUCCUUCCAUCUGAAAGGAUUUAGUUGCAUUAAUAACCUCAUAACAUUCUAAUUUUUAUUCCAGUCUUGGUUGGAAAUAGAAUCUCUGUAUUGAUUCAGGUGAAAACUGAACUUCACAGCAUGUUGGAGCAAAACAACCAGAUGAAAACUGUGAUGGUGUUGGAUUGUCAGACCGUAAUGUUGCAGCUCAAAGCAGCUUUUCAGUUCAUUUUCUCAGUUCAUUCUGACAUUCAGCUAUGAAUCAACACAGCAGAUGGUGAUCCAUGCUGUGGAAGUCUCACAUCUCCUGAUUUAAUGGAGCUGCUUUGCACUUUUUACACUGUUUAUUCACCAACACUUUAUUUAAUAAAAGUCCCAUCUAGUUUUCAUGAGGAAUGUGAUGUUUUAAUUUCUCUGUGAAUAACUGCAGUCUAAUGUAACAGCUGGAGUUGUAACAUCUGUCCUGAUAUUGAUCAUGAAGUAUUGAUCAGAAUACUUAUGGUUAGCAGUCAUCCCUGAAGUUUUACAUUCAAAUCUUUACUUGUGUUGUGAACUUUGGUAAGAAGCAGAGACUUUUACAUUGCCAUGGAUACAUGAGUGUUAAAUUCUGUCCAUGUUUCCAUUUUGGGAAAUUCAGUCCAGCAGAUGAGUUUGUUUUUACUGCCAGCUACCAUUCAGUCUGAGAUAUUAAGAAUAAAUAAAUGUGCAUAAUGUGGAAAUGAACAGAUUUUAUUUUUAUUUAUUCCUACAGCUUCUGCAGGUAAAGUUAUAGGAUGUGGAGGAAUUUAGUCUCACAAUCACAGACAAUAAAUAUUAUCUGAAAGUCGGGUUAUUGUUGUUUAUCAGCACAAUACAAAAAGAUUAAUGUUAGAAAUAUUCCAGUUAAGACUCUAGAAUAUCAGGAUUUAUGUAAAUUUACUUCAAUAAUAUGAAUGUUCAGGUUAAGAUUGUACAGUGAUAUUUAUUAUGUAAGUUUAGCUGAUUAAAGUUUAUGACUCUGCACUAAAAUAUUAUUUAAAUUGACAUCAUUAUUAUAAUAUUUAGGGUCAGACCCUACAGUAUUGAGAUUAAGAAAUCAAAUAUUCUAUAAAAUGUAAAUACACUGAACUCAUUUGGAUAUAUUUAAG
Long non-coding RNA from Amphiprion ocellaris (clown anemonefish), 1525 nucleotides. RefSeq lists it as uncharacterized. The record is from RefSeq and is a predicted model, not a curated record. NCBI's taxonomy places the organism in Eukaryota, Metazoa, Chordata, Actinopteri, Pomacentridae. The transcript is spliced from 3 exons.